GACGAACGCUGGCGGCGUGCUUAACACAUGCAAGUCGAACGGAAAGGCCCUUCUUUUGUUGGGUGCUCGAGUGGCGAACGGGUGAGUAACACGUGAGUAACCUUCCCUUGACUUUUGGAUAACUUCAGGAAACUGGGGCUAAUACCGGAUAGUAGCUCCUGCUGCAUGGUGGGGGUUGGAAAGUUUCGGCGGUUGGGGAUGGACUCGCGGCUUAUCAGCUUGUUGGUGGGGUAGUGGCUUACCAAGGCUUUGACGGGUAGCCGGCCUGAGAGGGUGACCGGCCACAUUGGGACUGAGAUACGGCCCAGACUCAUACGGGAGGCAGGAGGGGGGAAUAUUGAACAAGGGGCGGAAGCCUGAUGCAGGAACGCCGCGUGCGGGAUGAAGGCCUUCGGGUUGUAAACCGCUUUCGCCUGUGACGAAGCGUGAGUGACGGUAAUGGGUAAAGAAGCACCGGCUAACUACGUG
RNAcentral lists this ribosomal RNA (468 nucleotides) under uncultured bacterium. Its description in RNAcentral is "partial 16S ribosomal RNA". It matches the Rfam family "Bacterial small subunit ribosomal RNA", at positions 28 to 507 of the family's 1533-position model. The record is from RNAcentral.